UUCCAGACUCCUACGGGAGGCAGCAGUGAGGAAUAUUGGUCAAUGGCCGGAAGGCUGAACCAGCCAAGCCGCGUGAAGGACGAAGGUGCCAAGCAUUGUAAACUUCUUUUGUCAAGGGACAAAAUCAGGCUCGAGAGCCUGACCGAGGGUACUUGAAGAAAAAGCAUCGGCUAACUCCGUGCCAGCAGCCGCGGUAAUACGGAGGAUGCGAGCGUUUUCCGGAUUUAUUGGGUUUAAAGGGUGCGUAGGCGGAGUGUUAGUCAAGGGGUAAACGCCGGGGCCCCACCCCCGGCGAGCCGUUGAAACUGGCUGUCUUGAGAUGUCGAGAGGUAUGCGGAAUGCGCAGUGUAGCGGUGAAAUGCUUAGAUAUUGCGCAGAACUCCGAUUGCGAAGGCAGCAUACCGGCGGCGAUCUGACGCUGAGGCACGAAAGCGUGGGUAUCGAACAGGAUUAGAUACCCGGGUA
RNAcentral lists this ribosomal RNA (465 nucleotides) under uncultured bacterium. Its description in RNAcentral is "bacterial SSU rRNA". It matches the Rfam family "Bacterial small subunit ribosomal RNA", at positions 329 to 792 of the family's 1533-position model. The record is from RNAcentral.